Molecule: ribosomal RNA, 255 nt
Filed under: uncultured bacterium
Lineage: Bacteria
Description: partial 16S ribosomal RNA
Rfam family: Bacterial small subunit ribosomal RNA
Source: RNAcentral
UACGUAGGGUCCGAGCGUUGUCCGGAAUUACUGGGCGUAAAGAGCUCGUAGGUGGUUUGUCGCGUUGUUCGUGAAAACUCACAGCUUAACUGUGGGCGUGCGGGCGAUACGGGCAGACUUGAGUACUGCAGGGGAGACUGGAAUUCCUGGUGUAGGCGGUAGGAAUGCGCAGAUAUCAGGAGGAACACCGGUGGCGAAGGCGGGUCUCUGGGCAGUAACUGACGCUGAGGAGCGAAAGCGUGGGGAGCGAACAGG